RNAcentral lists this ribosomal RNA (532 nucleotides) under Eutropis rudis (rough mabuya). Its description in RNAcentral is "partial 16S ribosomal RNA". It matches the Rfam family "Bacterial large subunit ribosomal RNA", at positions 1841 to 2621 of the family's 2925-position model. Lineage: Eukaryota; Metazoa; Chordata; Lepidosauria; Squamata; Scincidae. The record is from RNAcentral.
AAGUAUUAAAGGUCCCGCCUGCCCAGUGAAACAUUUAAACGGCCGCGGUAUUCUAACCGUGCAAAGGUAGCGUAAUCACUUGUCUUCUAAAUAAAGACCAGUAUGAACGGCUAAAUGAGGACAAACCUGUCUCUUAUAACUAAUCAGUGAAACUGAUCUACCAGUACAAAAGCUGGUAUAUAUACAUAAGACGAGAAGACCCUGUGGAGCUUAAGACAUACUACUAAAUACAAAAUAUUACUAGUACAAUAUCUUAAGUUGGGGCGACUUCGGAACAAAACAAAACUUCCGAGCAGAGACCCACCACAUCUUACUAAGGCCAACAAGCCAAAGUGGAAAACUGACCCGGCUCCCGCCGAUCAACGAACCAAGUUACCCCAGGGAUAACAGCGCUAUCUUCUUCAAGAGUCCCUAUCGACAAGAAGGUUUACGACCUCGAUGUUGGAUCAGGACACCCAAGUGGUGCAGCCGCUACUAAAGGUUCGUUUGUUCAACGAUUAACAGUCCUACGUGAUCUGAGUUCAGACCGGAG